Molecule: ribosomal RNA, 1512 nt
Filed under: metagenome
Description: bacterial SSU rRNA
Rfam family: Bacterial small subunit ribosomal RNA
Source: RNAcentral
AGAGUUUGAUCCUGGCUCAGAACGAACGUUGGCGGCGUGGAUUAGGCAUGCAAGUCGAACGAGAACGUCACCUUCGGGUGGCUAGUAAAGUGGCGAACGGGUGAGUAUCGCGUGGGAAAUCUACCCUCGAGUUGGGGAUAACACUCCCAACGGAGUGCUAAUACCGAAUAAGACCACGGAGUCGCAUGGCUCAGCGGUCAAAGGUGGCCUCUACAUGUAAGCUACCGCUUGAGGAUGAUCCCGCGUCCCAUUAGCUUGUUGGUAGGGUAAUGGCCUACCAAGGCUACGAUGGGUAGCUGGUCUGAGAGGAUGGUCAGCCACACUGGGACUGAGAUACGGCCCAGACUCCUACGGGAGGCAGCAGUCGAGAGGCUUCGGCAAUGGGGGAAACCCUGACCGAGCGACGCCGCGUGGGCGAUGAAGGCCUUACGGUUGUAAAGCCCUGUCAUGAGGGAAGAAAUGCACGUUGUCAAACAGGCUACGUGUUUGACGGUACCUCAAGAGGAAGCUCCGGCUAACUCCGUGCCAGCAGCCGCGGUAAUACGGGGGGAGCAAACGUUGUUCGGAAUUACUGGGCGUAAAGGGCGCGUAGGCGGCUCGAUUAGUGGAAUGUGAAAGACCCUGGCUCAACCAGGGACGGGCAUUCCAAAACUGUCGAGCUUGAGUAUAGGAGAGGGUGGGGGAAUUCCCGGUGUAGCGGUGGAAUGCAUUGAUAUCGGGAGGAACACCAGUGGCGAAGGCGCCCACCUGGCCUAAUACUGACGCUCAGGCGCGAAAGCUAGGGGAGCAAACAGGAUUAGAUACCCUGGUAGUCCUAGCCGUAAACGGUGAGCACUAGGUGUAGGAGGCAUCGACCCCUCCUGUGCCGCAGCUAACGCAUUAAGUGCUCCGCCUGGGGAGUACGACCGCAAGGUUGAAACUCAAAGGAAUUGACGGGGCCCCGCACAAGCGGUGGAGCAUGUGGUUUAAUUCGAUCCUACGCGAAGAACCUUAUCCUGGAUUUGACAUGCACGGAUGGGCUACCUGAAAGGGAUAGCUCCUGCCUUCGGGUGAAACGUGCACAGGUGCUGCAUGGCUGUCGUCAGCUCGUGUCGUGAGAUGUCGGGUUAAGUCCCUUAACGAGCGAAACCCUUGUCACUAGUUGCCAGCGAGUAAUGUCGGGGACUCUAGUGAGACUGCCGGUGUUAAACCGGAGGAAGGUGGGGAUGACGUCAAGUCCUCAUGGCCUUUAUGUCCAGGGCUGCACACGUCCUACAAUGGCGCGCACAAAGGGAAGCCAACCCGCGAGGGUAAGCAAAUCCCAAAAAUCGCGCCCCAGUUCGGAUUGCAGGCUGAAACCCGCCUGCAUGAAGCCGGAAUCGCUAGUAAUCGUGGGUCAGCAUACCACGGUGAAUGUGUUCCUGAGCCUUGUACACACCGCCCGUCAAGCCACGAAGGUGGGGGGCGUCCGAAGUCGCCGAGGUAACCCGAAAGGGAGCUAAGCGCCGAAGAUGAACUCCGCGAUUGGGACUA